UAUAUUUUGCUGCUGUUGCUGUUGCUGUUGGGUUUGGCCUGCAGAGAAAUGAUGGAGAGGAAGGUCUUGAGAAAGAUUGUGAUGAAACGCCAUGUUUAAAUUGUUUCUCGUUUUGUAUUAGUAUCUGAAACAAAGCAAUCAAGAAAGAAAAGCCGAUUAUAAAAGCAUGGAUAUAGAUAGAAAGAGAGAGAGAUAACAAGGGAGUGAGAAAGCAAGGUUGCAUAAAAGAAGAAAAUGAUGGAGAGAGAUAGGUUUCUUACAGGUGCAGACUAUAUAGAGAAAGAGAAAGGGGGGAGAGAGAGAAGACUGGUGGUUGGUACUUGAUGCAGUAGAAACAGUGAAAGUAAAAACUAUAGAGAGUCAAAGAAACGCAGAGAUCAUGGUCCUUUUUAACACAGAUUAUCCUCUACUGUCUCUGUGUCUGUACAGAGAGAUGUAUGAAGAUGAUGAUGUUAUACAUAUGGGCUUGUGAUAAAACGUAUCAGGAACAAGAAGGUUGCUUAGAGAGAGAGAGAGUGGGGACCUAGCUAGGAAGAGAGCUGGAGGAGAAAGAAAA
RNAcentral lists this unclassified non-coding RNA (556 nucleotides) under Hevea brasiliensis (rubber tree). The record is from RNAcentral. Lineage: Eukaryota; Viridiplantae; Streptophyta; Magnoliopsida; Malpighiales; Euphorbiaceae.